Molecule: long non-coding RNA, 9218 nt
Organism: Cryptomeria japonica (Japanese cedar)
Lineage: Eukaryota; Viridiplantae; Streptophyta; Pinopsida; Cupressales; Cupressaceae
Exons: 10
Source: RefSeq, a predicted model, not a curated record
AGUUUUUUGGCAUGUCUGAUUAAUGGUUAGUUUUGAUUCUCUAAAUCUAAUUCUUAUCCAACCCCUCAACAUCAGUGGGUUGGGCAUGCUCAUGCUUGUCUGACAAAUUCUAGUUCCUCUAUUUUUUGGUGACAAAUGUAUCCAGGUUAAUCAUCAAGCUCAUUAGCAGUAAUAACUGGGCCAUUUCAAUCCACUGCAAAUCUAGGAUUAUCAAGAAGGAAGCAAUCAAAGUUUUCUGGUAUAUAUUAGCUUGUCUUUACAGAGAGAAGGUAUUGAGUAUCAUGACUUCACCAAUAUUAAAAUGCGGAAGAUACUAAUUUAGAUUUUUUUAAUUAAAAAUCAUGUUCUCCAUCUUGGUUCUCAUAAGAUCACAAAUUGCAUUAAAGCCCACUCCAACCAUCCCAAACACGUCUAUUUUAGUCAUGUUAAUGAAUCAAUAAGUCUUAAGUGCUCUUUUCAAAUAUUGCAAGGGUUGUGAUUAAAAGUCACAAUGACAGCCACUUCAAAAUCAAUGCUUUAUUGAAGAUCAAGUACAAUCAAAUGCAGUCAAGGAUUCAAGAUUUUUCAAGCCAAAAGAACAGUCAUACAAAUGGAUAGUGGCAGUCCAAAACAACAAAAGAAUAGGGUUAUACACAGUGAAAAUGGAGAAAUACAGUAUAAGGAGAAGCUACGGUGAGGUCAUGAGAAUACCAAUAAACAAAGAAGACAUAGAUAGUCAUAAAGGGAAAAGUACAACUUUAGAGCAACAGUGAUACUGUCAAGAUUAAAUAAAGAUCCAAAUACCUUUACAUAGUAAAAAUCCUUGUUCAUAAGCUCUUAUUAUCAUAUAUCAGAGUCUUGCUUUCAAAAAAGGUCUUUGUCAAAAGAUAGCAGCAAUGAAAAGGUUGCAUGAUCAUUUGCAGAGCAGUGAAAAGAUGUGAUGACAAUCACUAACAGUAAUCACAACAAAAACAAAGAUGCAUCAUAGAGAAGACAUUAAAUUUUUGCAGUCAAAAGACCCCUUCAACCUUAAGAGUAGUGACUAAAAUAUAGUUGUAGUCAAAAGCAUAAAUGGAUCAGUCCUUGGGCUAAAAGCAUAUUUUUUUGAAGUAAAUACAGUCAUUGUCUUAAGAUCUAUUGUAGUGCCCCUUCCUCGAUCAGACUCCGUCUAACUAAGUUUGACUCUGGUUGCUUCCUUCGGUGGUUUUUAUAAACAAUCCUUGAAUCUUUUGUUGCUAUUAAGAGUAACUGUCCCAAAGCCUUGGACUGAGAUUUUACAAGUCAUGAUGGUAACUCAUGAUAAGAUAGUUUCUCUUCCCUUUUUAUGGAUUACUAAUAUCUCUAAGAACCCUCUCUACUCACUGUAUUACCUUAUAUCAUGACGGUUACUGGACAGUGAAUUAAAAUCACUGUAUUUUUAUGGACUGAGUUAUCACCAUACUCAUAGAGGGACUGUAAUGCAAACUCUACAAAUGGCUAUCAUUGGCUACUAUUAUGAUGUUUUGACUUCAUCACUGUGUUGUUCUUCAUGUUGUGACAUGACACUUGCAGCUUAUGCUUUUCAAUAGUCAUAACCCUUAGGACUCUGUCUUUUCUUUCAUGAGCUUGAACCUACAAUUAGCAUCAUUUGUAUCCCUUAGCACUAUUUUUGUCCCUUUAACUGUCCUAAACUAUUCUCCAAUAUUUUAACCUCUUCUAAUGGCUACUCUAUCAUUUGGAUGUCUUGGCAUUAACAUUGUCUCAAGUAUCCAUUCUUAGGGUUUGGAUUGUUAUUUUGUGUGCUCUAUGAUUUCUUAUCAACCCUUUAUCUUUCACUGUCUAAUCUUUCUUUUGGCCUUGUGAUAACAUGUUCCUUAUUCUUGUUGUUGUACCUAUGUUAUGUCCUUUGCUAGGAAUAUUGGUAGCUUGUGGGUUGUUAUUAUGCCACUAUUUUGAUCUUCUUUUCAAGAUGUUAUAAAGACCUUCAAUGACAAAUCCAUUUUUUAUAUAUCUUGCAAUCAUGGUGGUCCAUGAAACCACAUUUCUUUGAGGCAUUCUAUCAAACGGUUCAUGUCCCUUGUCUAUGCUUCCACAUUUAGCACACGUCUACCAAAGAAUUUACAACUAUAAUAUUGGACACAAAUCCCCCUUCGAUUAGGCUUUGAUAGAUGUCCAUACCCUACUCCAUAGCUCCCUAUUUUGGUACAACUAGAAAGGAUGCUAGAAAAGGCCAUAGAAUCUGUCUUUAUGCCAACCAAUUGAAUUUUAUUGAAAGUUUCUAAAGCCUUUUCAACAAAUCCAUUUUUUGCAUAUCUUGCAAGCAUUACUUUCCAUGAAACCACAUUUCAUUGGGACAUUCUGUCAAACAAUUUAAUUACAUGCCUUGUCUAUGCAUUUUAUUUUUACAUACAUGUCUAUGAGUGCAGUCACAACUACAUCUGACAAAAAAUCCCCUUUUAUGCUUUGAUAGAUGACCAUACCUUGUUCCAAUGCUCCCAUUUUGGCACAUGUAGUGAUGAUGCUAGAAAAUGUUUUGGAAUUUUACUUUACACUUGCUAAUUUUAUUUUCUUGAAAGUUUCUAAAGCCUUUUCAACAAAUCCAUUCUUUGUAUAUCCUGCAAUCAUGGUGUGAUGCAGAGACAGCGGUUAGACUCGAAUAAUAGGUCUCAAAUUGAAGGGCUUCUACAAUACAAUCCUCAAUACAACUCAAUUGGGCAUGCUCAUUAAUUUUUCACCAUGGGUUAUUACACAAGACUUAGGUUCUUACACAUAAAGUAUGGAGAGAGGGAAGGCUUGGCAAUGAUUUGUACUAAGACUUGUGGAACCAUGUAACAUUUCCAGGUUUUGGCUUACAAUACCAAAUUCUAGACUUUUAUGACUGCACUAUUUUGUACUAUUUGAGGAUGAGGGUUUCCUCACUUGAUAAAUGUGACUCACUAAUUAAUGAUACCCUUUCCCAAUGUAGUUUUGGAAGCAUUCUAACUCUCAACAAAACAUCUCAGAGAGGCCUCAAGGUGUUUCCAACAAAAGCAAUCAUAAUUGAUCACUGUUUUACAAAAAGGCUAAACUCUAUCCUAAAACAACAGUCACAAACAAAGACACCAAGAUUUUUUGUAAUAUUCAAACUCCAAUGGGAAUGAGUCCCUAGAACCCUUGUACACCAUUAAUAGAUCCCUCAACAAUGAAUGACUUCUACUAUGACAAUGGUUGCAACAUUUACUUGACUGGAAACUCUCACUGUGACAGUCAAUCUUUUAGGAUAGUCAUUAAUACACGAUAGUAGUUUAGGUACAAUUUGCACUACUUAGCCUUUGAGCAUGGUUGUAACUUGUAUUGGCUGAUGAAAUGGUUGUUGGGUAGCAUCUUGUGUUGUGUGAUGUCUCCAUGGAGGCAAGUGCUAUUGCUAUCAUUGGGGCUCUUUUUAUGGUUGUGUUUUUUAUUAGGUCUUCUUGGGUGAUAGAGAAGAGUUUAUAGAUAAGAUAGUGAUUCCCUAAUGAAGCAUAUUAAUGUUAUUGGUUUCUCUAUUAUAUGGUAUGAAGAUUUAUUUGUAGAGAUUUCUUAUAUCUUGUAGAGAUUGUUUUAUAUCCUGUAGAGACUACAUUAUAUCCAUUAGAUGGCUAAUAGCUCCAAAUAACUACUGAUGUAAACUGACCAAGAAGACAAUGUUGGCUAAUCAUUAAUGUUUAAGAUAUUAGAUAGCCAUGCACAUGUGAUAAUUAAGCAUUUACUUGACAUGUGAGAUACAUUCAGGUCAGCCACACAGAAAUUUGCUAACAACUGGGUGGAGCGUCUUUGUGACUGUGAACUAUCAUUGAAAUCAAAUCUACAUCUUUGUUUUGACUGACAAACCUCCAUUCACUGUGAUGGUUCAUUGUCUUUCAAAACUUCAUUUUGAUUUGGGUGCACUACUGCUCUAAGGCAACCUUGAGUGACCCUUGUAUGUCUUUAAGACUUUCAUCCAAGAUGCUAGAACUACACUUUUUCUUUGAUUUGCACUGUGACAAGGCUUUUAUUGACCAAACUCUAGCAUUUAUAGAGUUUCCUUAGCAUCUUAUGACAGUGACAAGGUGCCCCUUGGACUAAAUCCUAUAAUGGAGGUCGUUCUUUGGGUUCUAGACUGCAUUUCUUCAUGGUUUUUCCUUGUUGUGACUACUACAAGGUUUUAUCCCAACUAAUUUGAUAAUUCUCAAAACAUUGAUAUGCUCUGUUAUUUGUAUAGAAACAACAUGCCUUGACACAAAUACCUUGCUCUUAGUGUGGCUACUACUGUUAAAUGCGAAAGGGCCGAUCUCUGAUUUUGGAUUGAUAUUUCCUUAAUGAUUGUUAUUUAGGUCUGUAGCAUGCCUUCCCUUAUUAUGUCGUAAGUUCAAAACCUAAGGACUGAAACCUUUGACCUCUUUAAAUUGCCAUUAUCUUCUCUUGUCAUCUUAUAUCAUUUUCUUUUGAGCCCAAAUGUUUUGAUCAUAACACAUUGGGACCCUUGAAGCCUUUAUCUCAAAUUUAGACUCAUUCACUAUGCUGAUGAUAUUUUAUCUAUGUUGGGACUUUCUCAAUUUUGACUAUCUUUUUCAAAGCCACUCUUGGAAUCUUUGUUUAUAUCCUGUGCUUAGAGUCUUGUAGGUUCUUUGUUUGCAGAGACCUAAAAUAGUGAGCACUUGAGCGUAUUUGACUGCCCUUUUACAUUGUCAUGGGGUUUUGACUGUGAAUAUCCUUUGAGAUCUUAUUCUUACUUUUCUACUAAGGACUCUUUCACUAUUGUUUUUAUGUAUUUUGAUCCCUUGACUGGAAAAGAUAGUAUUUUACUGUUUUUUGAUCCUUCAAACCCUGUCAUCAAUGUUUCCAUGACUGUAUUUUCCUCAAGAUAGACCUUUGUAUCAUCAGUACUAUGCAUGCUUAGGGCUUUGGAUUUGUUGUCUCAGACCUAAAGCCUAAUGAUUUACUCUAUAACUCUGUUUUAAGACUUGCCACUAUGAACAAUGCAUUGUUACUUUUUUUGAUUUGGAUGCCUAAUACCCUUGCCACAUGGAGCCACCAAGCUAUCUCUCCCAUUCCUCUAUUGUGUUGGGAUUGUUGUAGCUUAUUGACAGUGAUAUGACCCUAAAUCUCUGAUAUUUUAGUAUCCAUGGGUAAGUGUGGCUGCUCUAAAUUUUUAUCAUUGGCUUUUUAACUGGUAAAGGAUUCUUCUUAUCUCCGUGCCUUUCUUUGUUAUGGUUGUCUCUACAACAUUUUGCUAUCCAAUUUUCUCUAGCUUGAUAAUUAUGCAACAACACUUGCCUAUAUAUAUCAUUUGCUUCUUUUAGACUGUGAACAAUUCUCUAAAGAGCUACUUUAUUAUAUUGAUAAUCAUUUCACAUCAUGGUGUCAUCUAUUCCUUAUCUUGGUCUUAUGGUUUGGUCUGCAAACAGUACUUUGUACAACACUGUUAACUGUUUCCUUGCAUGUAUUUGUAUUGGCUGCUCUUUAAUUCAUUAAUACUUUGCUUUUGACUACUUAUGAAUGCUUCAGGCUACCCUUUGAAGAUCAUUGCCCAUUUUAUUGAUUCAUACUGUCAUUUUCCUGAUUGUUGCUUCAGCCUGUUAUACAAUCCUGCUUUUCUAAGACAAAAGAUUCUCUGUGUCCUAAUCUUUCUUGAUUGUGUUUUAAUAGAUGUCAUUAUCCUUUGGUAUGAGCCAUUCUUCCCUAGCUUUGAGACAGCAAUAAUGUCUUUUCUCUGUAAUCUAUGUCUAUGCACUGUAAUAGUGGUAAAGAAAUUAUGGUGAUAGCCUUAUGUGGCUUCCUUGAAUCUCUAUAUGAUUGCUCAUCAUUGACUCUAGUCUGCAAUCACAACAUGUGGUUUUAUUGUUCUUGAAAGAUCUAUCUUGAGACCUAACUCUCAUGGAUUGACACUACAUAUGGAAGAAUUCACUGCCUUUUACUUUUAGAUCUUGAAAUCCUUUCUUCUUAAUGUUGGCUAUGAGAUAUUAUCAAGCCUUGUACCGUGUUUUCUUUGCUUUGAUUCAAGGCUGUCACAAACUCUUGAAAACCUUUCCCUUAUUAACUGUCAAAACUGUCUUUAAAUGCAUAUAGACUCACCAUCAUUUUUGUCAAAAGGAGGGAAAACAUUGUUCUUUAUAUUACCAGCACUGUGUGCUCACACCAUGUCAUUGUUAUAUUUACCAUCUGCUAUGAAGCUUAUUAUUAGCUUGAAAGCAUAAUGAGUUGGGAAUUCUCAAAAGUAACCAUAGGCAAUAAGUAUUUCAUGUUCCUUUGAAAACCCCAUAGUACUGAAUUAGGAAUGAAUAAAAGAUGUCACCCUUGACUCCUUAAUCUUGUUUUUCAUGCCUUUAUUUGCUCUGUAGAUACAAAUUUCAUGGUCUUAUCAUUGUAUUUGAUUUUUUCUCACAAUGCUGCAAUCAUUAGGCUUCUUCUUAUGACUGUAAAUCAUUGUCUUAAGACCAUGGGACUGUUAGGACACCAUAUUUACUAUCCUUUACUGUCAAUCCUAUUUGGCCUGCUAUUAUGGGUCAAAUCUUCUUUUUGAAUACAUUAUAACCUGCCAUUAUGACUUUCAUUUGACUUAGAUCUAGAUUUGGCUCUAUCUAUGAUCAGGAUUGGCACAAGUCUUCACUUUUUUCAUAUUUAUUAACUUCUGUAUGAAGACUGUUCUGGCUUGAAAUUUUGGACAAAACAUUCAUUCAUCCAUAAUAGUAUUCUUGCAAAUAAAAGAUUUGAAUCCUUCCUUAUGCAUGCUAGCUGAAGUUCUCUUCGUCAAAUUGAAAAGGGAGGGAUUUAGAAAGAUAAUGACAUAAUGUCGACCUAUUCAAGCUUAUUGUGUGCAUGGUUGUUGCAUGGAAGUAUUUAUUUUAUAGAAAAUCUAAUGUUUUACCUUAUGUUUUACACGCACUUAGAAAAGUACCAUUCAAGCAAAAAAGAUAAUAGCAAUAUUUAUUUUACAGAACAUCUAAUGUUUUACCAUACGUACAUGCAAGGGACCCCUUAACAACAAAACUUGGGAUGGACCACCAAGAGAAAAUAAAAUAUCAAAAAACCUUUAUCGUAGAACUCAAGAAAGAUUAAAGAAAGAAGUGAAUAAAAUGGUAACUAUUAAAUCAAUAUCUUUUGGAACGUUCAAACGUAUAGUUGUCGCGGGAACUCAGGAAGAAGGCAAACAAAGAGACAAGUACAAACAAAAGAAGACAGGUCAUACACCGAUAACGAUCCAGAUAGAAAGCAAUGAACUUCAUUGACAAUAAGAGGAAGGAAGACGAAAGAACAAGCCACACUUGCCAUGCUGUAAGGCCGGUUAUGAAGGAGCUAGCCAUGUUGAAUAAAAAUGGAUAUGAAAUACCAAGAUGAUCUGAGAUGAUAUGAAGGAUGGUUACCUACUACAGAAGGGAUUCUGAUGGCAACAAGCUCUAUAUCACAUGGAAGCCAACUCCAAGAUCAGAACUUGUAAAUGAUGGAUUUGGCUAGUGCCAGAAUAAGCCAUAUAUUAUGAGAUAAACUUUUGUCAGUGAACGCUACAAGUGAUCCGUCAAGCAAUUUACUAUAGCAGUUACAAGUGGAUUCCAUCCUUAGACAUUGCUAUGUUAAGGGCCCCAAAGAAUUUGAGAAAUGCACUAAGGGAGAUGAUGUAUUUCUCUAGCAAUAGAAGUAUGGAUGCUGAAUGAUUUGAAUUCUACUGAGGAUUCUGGAGAAGAUGAUUUUGAGGAUGAAGAAGAGGAUUUUCAGGAAAAUCCCGUGAAAGCAAAAUCAACAAUUAAGACUCCAUGCAGCCAGAAGUCUUUGCUUUCUAUAAAGAAUACAUACAGGGGGGGUUCAUUGGACUAGAAAAAAUAGGGACAAAAAAAAUUCCAGAUAGGGCAAGGUGUCAUCAACAAACUGAUCUUGACAAAGCAAAGGCAACUCUUAUGCUAGCUGGUUCUCCUGGUUCACUGGCUUGCAAAGACAAAGAAAUAGAUGAGGUAACAUGAUUUGCGAUGGGAGCACUAGCUGCUGGAAGCCAAUGUAUGGGUCGAUGUCUUUACAAACAUGGGGUGCCAAGGACUGGAAAGGUAUUUAUGAUGGUGCAUAGACAACAACUGCGAUAACAACUAUGAAGAAGCUUUGGGCUAAAGUUGAUGCUAAGGUUAUUCAUCCCUAUCGAUUUGUAGAGAUAAAUGGGCUUAAACUUGCCCAACCAGAGAAUCUCUACAGGGUAAAGUGGGUUUCUUGAAACUGUUUUAAGUGUUUUAGUCACUAUUGAGUCUGAUGCUCAUCGAUAUCUUUUUCUUCCCUUAUUUUGUAAGUUCUCUAUGAGGCAUUGACUGGACAUAGACUAAGCUGGAAAAAGACCUUUAAAUUUCUAAAUCAACGAUUCUCAUAAUCAAAGCAGACAAGAAAGGCUGCUUGUCCACCCUACAUUCUGCUUAUAGAUGAGCUUGAUCUUCUUGUCACAAGAAAUCAAUUGGUAUAGUAAACACAAUGGAUCUAGCAGAGAAAUUGCUUCCACGUAUAGAAAGUCGUAUGGGAAUGAAAAGAUUAUGCUUUGGUCCCUAUUCUUAUCAGCAUUCGGAGGAGAUUAUUUCAAUUCUUCUAAAUGGAAUUGAGGCAUUUUAAAAAUAGGUUGUUGAGUUUGUUUUACGGAAGGUAUGCAUAUAGUAAUGAAUUUAUUAUUGAUACACUUUACAUAAUACGAUUAAGAGCUUUUCUAGGUUUUUGUAAGAGAUAAGUUGUUUAAACUAAUAGAAUUUUUUCUUUUUGUAUCAUCAAAACAUAUUUUAAAUAAUUUCUUUCUAAAUGAACUUUUGGAUAAACAUGUAUUUCAAGUUGUAGUAGUUUUUGGAGAUGCUCAUUGAGAAUUGGAGCUAUGUAGACAUGUUGUAGAGCUUGUAAAAUUCAGAGUCCAACAGUUGGAUUCUCCUCAAUUUGCUAUCCCAUUGUAGAUUAUCUCCCCCUCUAUGGAUGUUGGAGAUCCUCCUCUUGUGAGCUUGAGCUCCUAGUUUUUGGCUUCUUGACUGUUGGGUUGAUUGGGUCUCUGUUUUGGGCUGCAUCUACAUGGUUGAUUUUUGUUCUCAACUGUUACUUGUAUCAGGGUUGGUAAUGAUCUUCAUGUAUUUGGCUUCUAUAUGUAUUGGGGGACUUUUUGUAUCUUGACUUGUGGGGCCUCUCAUAUGUAAUGGGUUUUUUGGCAUUUUGGGUAGCGUUGGGCUUUUCGUUUUAUGGGCUACAACUGGAGGUUUUCUUCUAGAUUCUUUCCUUCUGGUAUGCCCUUUUGAAUCUAGUUGUAAAUAACUUAAUAU